This 253-nucleotide ribosomal RNA is filed under the name uncultured bacterium. Its description in RNAcentral is "partial 16S ribosomal RNA". It matches the Rfam family "Bacterial small subunit ribosomal RNA", at positions 524 to 776 of the family's 1533-position model. The record is from RNAcentral.
UACGUAGGGGGCAAGCGUUGUCCGGAAUUAUUGGGCGUAAAGAGCUCGUAGGCGGCUUGUCACGUCGGGUGUGAAAGCCCGGGGCUUAACCCCGGGUCUGCAUUCGAUACGGGCUAGCUAGAGUGUGGUAGGGGAGAUCGGAAUUCCUGGUGUAGCGGUGAAAUGCGUAGAUAUCGGAAGGAACAUCAGUGGCGAAAGCGACUUCCUGGACCAGUACCGACGUUCAGGCACGAAAGCGUGGGGAGCAAACAGG